Long non-coding RNA from Triticum aestivum (bread wheat), 5077 nucleotides. RefSeq lists it as uncharacterized. The transcript has 2 exons. Lineage: Eukaryota; Viridiplantae; Streptophyta; Magnoliopsida; Poales; Poaceae. The record is from RefSeq and is a predicted model, not a curated record.
UAUCAGUGAUAGAUUUUUUUGCUUGGGUCGUCGGCGGGUUCGCCGGCCGCGGUCGGUGCUGGCGUCCUGUCUAGUUUGCUCGCCUGAUCGGUCCCAUGAGAGUGGCUGCGCCAGUGGCUCUCGUUGACAACGUACAUCAGUAACCUCAGGAAGUCGUUCCUCGCGAACCACAUCGCAACGCCGGCUGUAGCGGCAGCCAUCCGGCCGUUCCCCUUUGCCGUGUGGUAGGUCGUCCCCGGUGAAUCUGCAAUCUCCUCCGAUCCCCGCGUUGUUGAGCGGAGUUUCUGCAUCCAGCAAAAGCGGUGGCGACUCUUAUCCAUCCCCAUUUUCCCUUGACCCUGUGUUUGUACGAACAGGUGCAUAUCUUUCCUUUGCCUUACCAUGUCCUCUCUCUAUGAAAUAAAUUUCAGGCAUGCAUAGCACGGUUAUCAAAUUACUGUUUCUAAUAUUUUAUCUAGCAAUUAGACUCUUGGAAUUUUCUAUUAUUUGUUAAAUCAGAUCUGAAUUGCUAGGGAAGAAAGAAAGGUUAUAGUAAUUGAUAAAAGCACAUACGUGAUGCAUACAUAACUGAUAUUGAUUUUUGUCAAAUCAGUUGUGAGCCCUCCAUCAGGUAUCUGUGUGAAUACAUUGUCUUAUGAAUGUAUUUUCACUAUUUUGAAAAUAAAGUACAGUGGCCGUCCUCUUACAGUCAGAGAGAGCUUAAAUAUAGUUCAAUCUUCAGAGAAACACCAUAAAAAAAGUCAAGGGCCCAAGCUCACAAACACUAUAUUUGGGUUUGUUAAAUGGAUGCAUCAAAACAUUGAGUUUGCUAGAAAUUCUAAAAUCAGACUAAAUUAAAUAAUGACUAUAGACUAUAUACGAAUAUAAUAAGAUACCCAAAAGUAAAUAAAUUUCGUUCUGUUAAAAUAUUUCAGAUAUAUCAAUUUGAAACCAAAUAAGGCUGCUAUGUCUGCAUCACAUUAUAUUUAGUCAUAUCAGAAUGCUUGUAACAAAAUCUAUAAUAUAUCCUUGUAAACAAUGUUUUUUGCAACCUUGUCGGAUGGACGCUCUUCAUCUGAGAUGAGUAUCUUCAAUCCAUUUCUGCUGGUCACCCUUGACAUUGCAACAUAGAGUUGUCCAUGUGUGAACACUUGCCUUUUUAAGUAGAGUCCAACUUUUUUGAGAGAUUGCCCCUGGCUUUUGUUUAUAGUCAUAGCAAAGCACACUGAUAUUGGGUAUUGUCUCCUUUUCAGAAUGAAAGGCCAUUUUGAAUCACUUGGUGACAUGAUAAUUUGUGGGAUGUAAACUUUGUCACCAACGUUAGGACCUAUUAUGACCUGGCCUUCAAUGAAACGCUUUCCUAGCUGUGUUAUUGUUAGUCUUGUCCCAUUGCAAAGUCCUGCACUUUGAUUGAUGUUCCUCAUAAGCAUUAUUGGUAAUCCUACUUUCAGCCUCAGUUCAUGGUCUGGUAUUUCAGAAAAUGUAAGACUAUUCAGAAACUCAGUUGGGUACAACAUAUCUUCAUCUUCCACCGUAGACAUUGCCUUGCAUGUUGUAUCUGAAUUGAAAUAGGCUACCUCUUCUCCAGGGAUUUGACUCAUGAUGUAGGCAUUAAUCUGGUCAACAGUCUCGUUUCAUGGGCACAAGAUCGCUCUUUCCUCAAGGCUCUCUGUACUGAAGAGGAAACUGAAAUAUGCGUCAUGCGGCUUCACAUCCAGAUAUGUACCGGGCAUCAAGGUACCUCUUGAUUUCGUCGUCCUUGUUUGUUAAUUUGCUAGCUCUUGUUUCACUUUGUUGGUCUUCCGCUUCUAUCAAGACGGUUGUUCGAUCUUCUCCUUUAUGGAUGUAUUUGAAUAAAUACUUUAUAGACCUUGAUCUGUUGCACCACUCAACAUUUAUGUGGGCUUGAUACUUGACCAGUAGGUUUCUAUUGUAUGGCACAACAAAUCUAUUGUCUAGCUUCACUCCAUUCUUGUCCACAGUGUUGCCAUCAUCUCGCCUUCUAUAUACUGGAUAGUUAUCUUCAUCUAUGGUAGUCUCAGUGCAAAAAUUCUUGGGGAAAUGUUUGGCACAACUUUUAUCGACCAUGCAUGGUGAUUUUGGGUGUGCUUGACCACAUGGACCAUGUAUCAUGUAAUUUUGCACUGCUUCGUACCCUUCUGGAUCACUAUUCUUAUCAGGAAUUUCGGCUGAUAUGAUUUUGUCGAUCUGGGAAGGACUUGGAUCUUUAUCAUCUGGGUGUAGAAACACCAGUAUGUGUGCAUGCGGGGGGCCUCUUUUCUGGAACUCUAUAGUGUAGACAACUUUAUGAAAGUAAACAAAUUUGAGAAGAAAUGAGUUAGGACAAUCAUCUAGGAAAGAGUGAAUAUGUACUUAUUAGGUAAACUUACUUGCAAUUGUUUGUCCAAAACACUUUCCGUUCUUUAUGUCAUUCAUAAGUUCCUUCAGUUUUAACAUGAAUACUCUGGCAACGAUAUCUGGACGAUCUUCAGAUUUCUGGCCUGGAAUCAGAUCCAACAUAUCUUGUAUUUCCAGCCAUUUUGGAUUGCAUGUAGAAGUAAUGAAGAGAUCAGGAUAGCCAGCCCAAGGACAAAUCGCCAUGGCAUCUUGGUAGUUUUGCCGCUUAUUUCUUGGACUGCCAUUAUAUGAUGAGGGUAGUAUGAUUCUUUGUCCAACUUGUUCGGCUCGUGUAUCUCCAUUUUCUAUUGCAUCAUGCAGUCCUCUGUACAGUUCUGUCCUCAACUUACCUUGGUUUGUCCUGUACCAAUUUAGUCUCCACUGUUCAAUGCACGUUGCUGCAUCAACUAAAAACUGCAGGAACAAACGUCCACUCAUUUGCAAUGUUGAAGCUUGGUUCAGACGUUGUUGUAUGCGAUACGCAUAAAACUCCAGCAUUGUUACAUACUUUCUUUUACCUUUGCUGCCUCUUUUAUUUUCAUACUCUAUUUCUGGUCUGAAACCAUCUUCUCCAUAUGGAAAAAGCAAGGGGUACUGCAUUGACAUAUAGCUUGGGUGCAACUCUGAAAUCCUCUGUAACAUUCUGUCUUUGGUCUCAACUAUUAUAUCAAAUUCAUUAUUUUCUCCACCUUGUUCCCCAAUAAUUAGUGCUGCGACUUCUGAGGCAGAUGGUAGGUUGUAUUGUCGUCCAUCUUUCGACCUUAGUCUUACAUCUUUAAUACGUCGGUUUUGGAAUCUGUCCCUUGCCAUACGAAAUGAUUUGACUAAAACAUUGUGCUCAUCAAGCAUCUCCAGUAGUCCUUUGACAAUGUUUUCAUCUGGUUGUGUCUUACUCUCCGUUGAAGCAGAUGCAUUAAUCCUAUUCCGCACUUCAUUUUCUGUGUCAUGUAUGUACAAUUGGGCAAAUUUUGGUUUCGUCACAUCAUCCUUAGGAAGUAAAGUGCCAAUCUGAUGGUAAUUAUGGCCAUUCAAACGGAAAACAUAUGGUCCAGAUGCCUGCUUAUUAAUUUCAUAGUCAACCUUUUCUCCCAUUGAAGUGAAUGCGAACAUCGAGGUGUACAACCUGAUGUUCUGGCGGAAAUUUGAUGAUUCUCCUCUUUCAUUGUAACGUAGUAGCUGUCGGAGAUACAGCGGAGCUUGCUUCAGUGGUGGUAAUUUAACUUUCCCUUCCUUGCAGCAGAGACCAAAUUUUGGAACUGUGAUGUUACCUGUGCUUGUGCUUCUCUCUCCAUGCCACAUAAUGGCACCAGAUAUGAAACUUGAGUGACAUCCUUCGCUACAUUAGAUACUUCACAGUCAUUGCCCUUUUCUGUCCUUAGUCGUUUGCUUGCCUUUUUCAGCUGGAGGAUCUCUUUCCUUUUACGCCUAGCUUCCUUUGCUGCUGCUCUAAUGAUGUCUGAUUGACUAUCAUUAGAUUCGAGUGUUGCUAGUUUAGAGGCUGCUUGCUCAGGUAUUUGGAUUCCUUGAUGAUGCCACAUAUUCCUGCAUUUUAUUUUGUUAUCAUUUUAAUAAUCCAGGUAAAUUAAUAUUUAUAUGAUUAUUUUUGGUAUUGUGGUAAAGAAUACCUUCCGUUGUUUUGAUUUGCUCUAGUGCGUGUUCGACGCAUGUUGACUGCGGCUAGUGAAUCCUGAAAUAAUGAGGUAAAAAGUGUAACUGAUUUUAUUCUGAGAUAUAAGUGAGGGCAUCUUAUACGUAACUGAUUUUAUUUGUCCAGAAAUUUAGAAUUGCUGAUGAUAAAUUUAAUGUAAACAUGUCAGGCACCACAUUGUUUGCAAGGAUGCUGAAGGUAUUUGUAUGGAACAGAUAGUUUCCUGAUAAGAUUCUUUUUUGUAUGGAUUGUUUUCCAACAAAGGCUUUUAAAUCGUCUAAAAUCAUUAUUCUAUUGUGAAAGAAGGAUACUUGUGUUGUCACCUUCCAAUGAGAGGACGUAUAUGCUCUGUAAUUGGUGAUCUGAAUCUCAAGUUUAUCGCCACUUUCUCUCUGUAAUUCAAGUUAAUACAAAGCAUGUGUAAUGAGAUCGGAGAGUUGAUGUAUAUAUUAAUCAUUGCAGGAGACAUGCAUAUAUUAUUUGUGGAAGGAGAUAAUGAACGUUGGCUGCAAGUACGGCCACGCAGCCUGUCUGCUCCUUGCUGCUUGCGAGAGGAGGGCAAUGUCUUGCCGGGAUGUGCACGCUCUGUAAUUGGUGAUCUGAAUCCCAAGUUUAUCGGCGCUUUCUCUCUGUAAUUCAAGUUAAUACAAAGCAUGUGUAAUGAGAUCGGAGAGUUAAUGCAUAUAUUAAUCAUUGCAAGGAGACAUGCAUGUAUUAUUUGUGGAAGGAGAUAAUGAACAUUACCUGCAAGUACUGUCACACAACCUGUCUGCUCCUUGUUGCUGGCGAGAGGACUAAUUAUUGCAUGUAUGUGAUGAAGGAUGAGAUCAGGGGCGAUGUCUUGCCUUGAUGCGUACGAAUUGAGUCGAUAUAGAAUUCUUAUUUGUAAAGAAGCGUAGUUAAGGCUAGAGUUUGUAGGUUAGAGUUUGUCAUCUGUACAUUUUAAACCUAUACAAUAUCUGAGCCGUUAUUAUUUUGUGUCACCAGAUAGAUGGCUCCUACUUGAAGUCAGUUUCCAUGUAUACUAAAAUAUAUGCACGUCUCUGUUUCUUA